This 28-nucleotide small RNA is filed under the name Bombyx mori (domestic silkworm). RNAcentral describes it as "ovarian small RNA-10180". The record is from RNAcentral. Lineage: Eukaryota; Metazoa; Arthropoda; Insecta; Lepidoptera; Bombycidae.
AAAUGUUGCUAUACAAACUUUGGAAAUC